Non-coding RNA from Ictidomys tridecemlineatus (thirteen-lined ground squirrel), 70 nucleotides. Lineage: Eukaryota; Metazoa; Chordata; Mammalia; Rodentia; Sciuridae. The record is from Rfam.
GUGGUUAUGGCUCAGUGGGAGAGCACACAUCUUGCAUAUGUGAGUGCUGGAUUCGAUCCUCAGCACCACA